UACGGAGGGUGCAAGCGUUAUCCGGAUUCACUGGGUUUAAAGGGUGCGUAGGUGGGUUGGUAAGUCAGUGGUGAAAUCCCCGAGCUUAACUUGGGAACUGCCAUUGAUACUAUCAGUCUUGAAUACCGUGGAGGUCAGCGGAAUAUGUCAUGUAGCGGUGAAAUGCUUAGAUAUGACAUAGAAUACCUAUUGCGAAGGCAGCUUACUACGCAGAUAUUGACGCUCAUGCACGAAAGCGUGGGGAUCAAACAGG
Molecule: ribosomal RNA, 253 nt
Filed under: uncultured bacterium
Lineage: Bacteria
Description: partial 16S ribosomal RNA
Rfam family: Bacterial small subunit ribosomal RNA
Source: RNAcentral